Molecule: ribosomal RNA, 250 nt
Filed under: uncultured prokaryote
Description: partial 16S ribosomal RNA
Rfam family: Bacterial small subunit ribosomal RNA
Source: RNAcentral
UACGUAGGGAGCGAGCGUUGUCCGGAUUUACUGGGUGUAAAGGGUGCGUAGGCGGCUCUUCAAGUCAGGCGUGAAAGGUACAGGCUCAACUUGUAAACUGCGCUUGAAACUGGAGAGCUUGAGUGAAGUAGAGGCAGGCGGAAUUCCCGGUGUAGCGGUGAAAUGCGUAGAGAUCGGGAGGAACACCAGUGGCGAAGGCGGCCUGCUGGGCUUUAACUGACGCUGAGGCACGAAAGCGUGGGUAGCAAAC